RNAcentral lists this small nuclear RNA (107 nucleotides) under Prolemur simus (greater bamboo lemur). The record is from RNAcentral. Lineage: Eukaryota; Metazoa; Chordata; Mammalia; Primates; Lemuridae.
GUGCUCAUUUCUGCAGCACAUAUACUAAAAUCGGAAUGAUACAGAGAAGAUUAGCAUGGUCCCUGUGCAUGGAUGACACACAAAUUCAUGAAGUGUUCCAGAAUUUU